This 301-nucleotide ribosomal RNA is filed under the name uncultured bacterium. RNAcentral describes it as "partial 16S ribosomal RNA". It matches the Rfam family "Bacterial small subunit ribosomal RNA", at positions 509 to 807 of the family's 1533-position model. The record is from RNAcentral.
CAGCAGCCGCGGGAAUACGUAGGGUGCGAGCGUUAAUCGGAAUUACUGGGCGUAAAGCGUGCGCAGGCGGUUAUGCAAGACGGAUGUGAAAUCCCCGGGCUCAACCUGGGAACUGCAUUUGUGACUGCAUGACUAGAGUACGGCAGAGGGGGAUGGAAUUCCGCGUGUAGCAGUGAAAUGCGUAGAUAUGUGGAGGAACACCGAUGGCGAAGGCAGCCCCCUGGGCUAAGAUUGACGCUCAUGCACGAAAGCGUGGGGAGCAAACAGGAUUAGAUACCCCAGUAGUCCCUGUCUCUUAUAC